Hypanus sabinus (Atlantic stingray) is the source of this 1372-nucleotide long non-coding RNA. RefSeq lists it as uncharacterized. NCBI's taxonomy places the organism in Eukaryota, Metazoa, Chordata, Chondrichthyes, Myliobatiformes, Dasyatidae. The transcript has 5 exons. The record is from RefSeq and is a predicted model, not a curated record.
CUUUAAUGCUACCAGAAGAAUUGCUCAGGGUAUGGAACUGGUUGCUCAUAAAAUGCUCAGAUUUUGGAACCUGGAGUUACGAACUGCUGGAAGAACUCAGCAGGUCAAGUCGCACCUGUGGGGAGAGAGGAAUUGUUGUUGGAUCAGAUUGGCUGCCAAGUUACAAAACUAUCUCAAGUAUUUGGCCUUCAAAUGAGGCAACAUAUGGAAGAACCAUUAUGCCACUGCUUUCACAGAUAAUCGUAGCAAAUACAAGAAACACAAAAGAAUCAGUAAAAUACCACACCAACAGGACGGACGAAUAAAGCCAAAAAAUGUGCAAAUACAAAAACAGGUAGUCAGUCCCAAUGGACACUUAAGAUUGAAAAAUACAGAGACAGAAUCCACUUUAUACCACAGCUGAAAAUGGAAUUGAAAACAAUUAAAAGUUAAACCUCAACAUCAGGCAGCCAUUGAUAACAUUGGAUUAAAGAUAAUUUCAAUAAAUAGUUAUAUGGCAGCCUUAAUCAUGGAAAAGGAAACAUAUUUCUGGAAUGUAAGAGAGAGACACAAGAGACUGAAAAUGCUGGAAUCUGAAGCAAAAACAAACUGGAAGCACAGCGGACAGUGGUGGCAAGCAGCAUCUAUAGUAGAAAAGGAAUUGUUAAUGUGGGGAAUUCUUUUCCCCGUCCCAACACACAGAUGUUACUUGACCCAUUAAGCUCCACCGGCAGUUUUUUUGCAAUAUGGAAUACAAAUCUGUUGAUAUCUGGUUAGUGAAAAAUGAUUUAAUCCUCAUUUUGCCAGAGGUUCUGAUUCUGGUUAUUAUACAUAAGCUUUGUAUUGUCCUUAAUGUUUUGCUCUACAAUGGAUUCUUAAUCAUCAAUGGGAGACUCGUGUCCUAAUUGCCAAAUAAAAAUGUGCACCUACACAAAAAAAAUCAAAUUUAUUACUGACAAAAUAUUUUCUUAAUAUACAGCAUCAGAUAUCAAAUUCUGGUAAGCUAAGACAACCUUAAGGAUUUCCAAUUGCCCCUAUCCAUCACAGGUUUAAAGAUUUCAUCCAUAGUUUGAUCACAAAUGGGUAGGUGGAUUAACUCUACAACUUCAAUUAUAAACCUCCAGCUGUGACAACAUCCUUAUAAACUUCCUGUACAUCCUCUCAAAUGCAAUCACAUCCUUCCUGUGGCAUCCAACAGCACACAGAACAGUCCAACUAUGAUCUAACUGAUUUAUUUAUAGUGCUAGAGUUUUCCCUGCAGUUACAUUAUAAGUUUGCCAGUAAAGGGAAAUAUCCUGUAUGCCUUGUUAAGCAACAAAUCCAACUGUCCCAAAAUCUUCAGUGAGUUAAGGACAUAUUUUCUUCUACAAAUAACACACUAAGAUAAAUAAUA